RNAcentral lists this unclassified non-coding RNA (376 nucleotides) under Hevea brasiliensis (rubber tree). Lineage: Eukaryota; Viridiplantae; Streptophyta; Magnoliopsida; Malpighiales; Euphorbiaceae. The record is from RNAcentral.
CGCGGCUGUUAACUCUUGUAUUCAGGCUUCAACUUAAGCAAUGCAUUGCAUCUACAUAUAUACAGUUUAAUGUCAAAAGAAAAGAUUUCUCCACGGCUGAACCAAAAUAUAUAUAGAUCAGAUGUAUCUACAACUUUUGACCCCGAACUGUAUCCAAAACUGCACAAAAUUUUACUCGGGCAGCACUUUCUAAUACUAUAUUCGCCACUGUCAUUAUAAUUUGUGCAUAUUCCACUAAUAUCUAUGAAUUUCUCGAACACAAGUCUUUUUUAAAGCCACAUGUUUCCUAAUAGAGAACCAUUUCAACACACUAGAGAUCUUUGUCCAUCUCCUCUGAGCCUUAUCCACUGCAACAGCUGUCGAACGCGUCAACAAG